GUUGCCAAUGUGAAACAAGCCACAUUCCCACAGCAUUGUGAAUGCAUAAACGUUCUGAUCACAAAUUUGACGCGAUCUGGCAUCCGGCCUAUCGGCUCUCUUCGUCGAAGCCUUAACCCAUUAACAAUUUAGCAUCCAUGACAACUCUUGAAGCUAUCACUGCCCACAAUCUCUCUACACUGGCUAAACCCAUUCACGAUCCCAUAAAUCCAGAUCCUUUUCUCUUCUCCUCUCUACAACACCCAAGCCAUCAAAAAAUUCACUGCUUUCAACCCAAAAUAGAAGGAGAUGGGCUAUUGAAUCUGUCACGGAGGAUAGAGAAGUGGUUCCUGUGAAAUAUAGUCCUUCAAAGGACCAAGAGAACCCUUCAUGGGCUAGUGGGUCUAAAGAUUUUCAGGACCUUUCAUCUUCUUCUAUUGAAGAAACAGGAGAAGGCGAUGACGAUAAAAACUAGUUCAUGAGUAGAGCAAUUAAUGCUACUUUUGUUUUAGUUUUUGGGACUCUUUUCUGUCAGUAAGUUGCUCACUAUUGAUCAUGAUUAUUGGCACGUAAGUGAUUUUCAUUAGUUCAAGCUCUGUUAUCUCUGCUUUCAUUUGCUGGUGGUUUGCAUAAGAAAAUUUUCCUUUUCAUCUAUCUUAUAUUUGUGAUUAAUUGCUCAAUUUUUCUAAUUUUAACUGUAGAGGUUGUUAAUAUUGGAGGUUUUGUAAUCCCGUCUUGUCAAAAUCUGAUUUUGUGAGGUUGGGCUGAUUAUUAUUUUUCAGACUAGUUACGAAGUCUCGUAUAAAUUCCUUCUAAGACUACGGGAUAAACAAAUAGUGGUGAAGAAAGGAAAACAGUGGAAUUUAGGAUUAGAAUUGAUUUCAUCGAUAUUUCAAUUAGCUGUGAACAAAAUUAUUGUCUAAUUGUUGAAUGUUUUUCUUGCCCUGGACUUUUUUGAUAAUGUUAUCCAAUUUGCUGGGAUGGACCUUUUAUGAGGUACUAAGGUAUGCACCUGAACACAAUUGGAUUGCAUAUGAACAAGCUCUCAAAACAAACCCUGUUUUAGCUAAAAUGGCUAUCAGUGGAAUUGUCUACUCUAUAGGAGAUUGGAUUGCACAAGUACUUUUGAUUUUUUUCCUUUUUUCUUCUCAUUGUCUUUUUUAUCAGUGGAUUAGCAGUUUUAUCAACUUAUUUUUCAUGAUUUGUUAGUUUUAACCUUCUAAAUGUGCAGUGCUAUGAAGGAAAGCCGCAUUUUGGGUUUAACCGAACACGCAUGUUUAGAUCAGGCCUUGUUGGGUUUACUCUUCAUGGAUCCCUUUCUAAUUAUUGCUACCAAUUUUGUGAGGCUCUUUUUCCUUUUGAAGAUUGGUGGUUGGUCCCUGCCGAAGUUGCCUUUGACCAAACAGUGUGGGCAGCAGUUUGGAAUAGCAUCUAUUUCACAGUGUUGGGUUUCUUGCGUUUGGAGUCCCCAGCCAAUAUUUUUAGUGAACUGACAGCAACAUUUUGGCCAACGUUGACUGCAGGAUGGAAGCUUUGGCCAUUUGCUCAUUUGAUUACAUAUGGUGUUAUCCUUGUUGAGCAAAGAUUUCUUUGGGUGGACCAUGUGGAACUCAUCUGGGUUGCCAUACUCUCUAGCAGUAAAUGAAUUGGAAGAUCACGACUUAAUGAGAUAGUUCUCGUAAUUGUUGUCAAUAGAUUGAUUGAACGACCAUGUUCCAUGUUCACCCUCUCUAUACGGAUGUCAACAGGUUAAAUCAGAAUCUGGAACCACUUUUACAGGAAUUUGUAUUGUUUCUAAAGCUGUGUAUGCUAUCACUGUCAGUUCAUAUUGAGAGAGCAGCAAAUAUUGAUUCAUUCUUGUAUUAAGUCAGGCUAAUGUGUGAUAGCAAGGAAGAAUGUAAAUGAAACAUUGACUUCUGAGUAAGGUCCACAGAAACCAGCAAUUUCAGUCUUGUCUGAUGACUUAGCUCUUAACUACAUAAUACAUUGAGAUAUGAGGACACCUCAAAUUCUGUAUUUCUUGAAGACGUGUGUCCAAAGAAACAAACUCCUUAGUAAAUUGCUAGAAACACAUUGCACGAAAUAUAGGACUCCUAGUCGAUGAGUCUCAUUUGUCUCUUUGGGUGAAGACAUAGAAUAUUCCUCUCAUUGGUUCAUGACAGACGAUUUAUUAAUGCACACACCAUCGGUUGAACUAUAGAAUCAAUUCUGUUGAGCCACUGAAAAAAAUAUUUAUUUUGUUAAAAUAAAAAGGGUUAAGUUCAAUUAUAUAUAUAUAUAUAUAUAUAUAUAUAUAUAUAUAUGCCAACUGGAUGACGCGAAGAGCUAGCUGGUUAGCUCCAUGGCAGAUGGGCCUAGGGUCAUGUUAUUUGCUUGUGUAAAUGUGAGCCUGCAACGUCUACUGGUGAGAAAACGCGUGGGAUACAACCGACCCUUUUAACGAAUCGAUUCAGAAGGAAGCCCAGAUCUCCAAGAUCUGAUCUUGGAACCCUAGAGAUCCCUGACAAACCACCAAUUUUGACGCAAUGGCCAAACUUGAACCGCUAGCCGAUGAACCGAAGCAGCCCAAUAUCAACAAUAAGAAGAAGAAAAGAAAUCAUGGGUCAACCAAUUUCUUCGUUUUUGUGGAUUAUUUAUUCCUCUUUAUCUUCCUUGGAUUCCUCUGCUUCAUUCUUUUCAAGAUGGUUGGCGUCUGAUUUUUAUCCCAUCACUCUCAUUCUUACAUUCCUUUUUAUCAGGAUAUGUUUUUUUUAUGAAACAUCCAGAUCUUCAGUUGGAAAUUUCAAGUUCCUACUCCAGAGCAUUUGCAGGUGUUGGCUUUGUUAGAUUCUUGACACUAUCUUUCUUCAUGGUGAGAAAAUAUAUAUGUUUUUUUAGUCAGAACUCAAAAGCAUUUCUGUAUUCUCUCUGUUAUCAGACAUACCUUUUACAUGUAUGUCAUCACAUGUAGAACCUCCAUUGCAAUUUGGGAUGUUGUGUAACGGUUGAUCUUCCAUUUCAUUAUUGGUUUACCUCGAGAACAAUAAACUAAAAUUUGUAAGUAAAAUCCUUGUGACCUCUCACUACUAGCUGCUUAGGCUUCCCGUGAAGAACCCAGUUAACUUAUGGACAACUGCAGCAUUGAAUGUCAUUCCUAUGUGUUCGCUGGAGCAUUUUCAGCUAUCAAUUUCGUGGAUAUUUUGUUUUGGAGAUUUAGUCUGUUAUUUAUUUAUUUAUGUUUAUGGAAAAAUAAAUGUAAAGGUACUCAUAUGUUUAGCAA
This is an RNA transcript of Hevea brasiliensis (rubber tree), 3238 nucleotides long. It is a transcript of the gene named protein SYM1, with no coding region annotated. The transcript has 5 exons. NCBI's taxonomy places the organism in Eukaryota, Viridiplantae, Streptophyta, Magnoliopsida, Malpighiales, Euphorbiaceae. The record is from RefSeq and is a predicted model, not a curated record.